Molecule: ribosomal RNA, 109 nt
Filed under: Pteropus alecto (black flying fox)
Lineage: Eukaryota; Metazoa; Chordata; Mammalia; Chiroptera; Pteropodidae
Source: RNAcentral
GUCUAUGGCCAUGCCACCCUGAACAAGCCUGAUGUCAGAAGCUAAGCAGGGUUGGGCCUGGUUUGUACUUGGAUGGGAGACCACCUAGGAGGGCCAGGUGCUGUAGGCA